AUACGGAGGGUGCAAGCGUUAUCCGGAUUCAUUGGGUUUAAAGGGUGCGCAGGCGGACUUGUAAGUCAGUGGUGAAAUCCCGGGGCUCAACCUCGGAACUGCCAUUGAUACUGCAAGUCUUGAGUUUGGUUGAAGUGGGCGGAAUGUAGCAUGUAGCGGUGAAAUGCAUAGAUAUGCUACAGAACACCGAUCGCGAAGGCAGCCCACUAAACCAACACUGACGCUCAGGCACGAAAGCGUGGGGAGCGAACAGGAUUAGAAACCCCAGUAGUCC
This 274-nucleotide ribosomal RNA is filed under the name uncultured bacterium. RNAcentral's name for it is "partial 16S ribosomal RNA". It matches the Rfam family "Bacterial small subunit ribosomal RNA", at positions 523 to 796 of the family's 1533-position model. The record is from RNAcentral.